This is a long non-coding RNA of Scylla paramamosain (green mud crab), 950 nucleotides long. RefSeq lists it as uncharacterized. The transcript is spliced from 4 exons. The record is from RefSeq and is a predicted model, not a curated record. NCBI's taxonomy places the organism in Eukaryota, Metazoa, Arthropoda, Malacostraca, Decapoda, Portunidae.
UUUGCAGUGUCUCACUUAAAUUUUUCUCUAUCUUUGUAUCUCCAUUUCAGAUAAAUUGUUAUCUUUCCAAGGGUUGAGGAGAACAUGGUCGUGGUUCAAGUGAAGCCACUACAGCCACUCCCUGACAAGCCUUCCACACCGACAGUGGCAGCAGACACACAAGAGAGGAUGGUGUGGUGGACAAGGGGAUGCAAGGAGACGGCAGACAGAAUGGAAGCUACAGAUGAAAGAAGAGCAGGUCAAGCCAUGGUAGCAGACAAACAGACAGACACAUUGGAUCAGAAAGAAGUAUUAUUAAGUGAGACAGGCCCACUGGAAGCUGUCAGUCUGCUGCGGCACGUGGCAAGAACCAAGUGUUGAGGAGCACACGUUGUCCCUUCACCAGUCAGCAGGUCUGGGCGGCUCGGAAGUCUCACUACAAACUGGAGACCCGUUCUCUUGGACACAGUAGGAGUCGGACACAAGAUUCAAGAGGGAGUCAUUUUAACGAGAGCUUCAGGCAGGAAAUUCGAGUGGAUUUUCAUUUCUAAAAAUAUCUUAUUUUUUGGUGGGAUAUUUUGAACCCUUCUUUGUGGAAAAAUAACUCAAGAUAUUAUGAUUCUAGCUGGAAGUUGACCUGAGCAAUGUAGGGUUUGCUGCUGUGUGAUUAUCACCAAGGCACAAGUGUCCGGGAUUUAAAGAUGAUGGAAAUGUGUCCUAUGUGCUGCUGUGCUGGGAAGAGGAGAGGAACAGCAGCAGUGGUGGGGCUCUGCUGCUGCUGUCACUGGUGCAGCUGCCUUCCCUCAACAUACUGUGUCUUCUCUCACCUGCAAUGAACAACUAUGAACAAUACUUUUGCGAUGAAGAACAGUAAAUAACACCUCUCCCCAUAUGGUUGCAAGUCUCUCUCUCUCUCUCUCUCUCUCUCUCUCUCUCUCUCUCUCUCUCUCUCUCUCUCUCUCUCUCUCUCU